Molecule: long non-coding RNA, 188 nt
Organism: Thalassophryne amazonica
Lineage: Eukaryota; Metazoa; Chordata; Actinopteri; Batrachoidiformes; Batrachoididae
Exons: 3
Source: RefSeq, a predicted model, not a curated record
GCUGUUGCUGGCAAUCAGUCUGUGAGCAGGAGUUAAUGGACUUUAUUUAACUCAAUUGUGAGAGAACUUGUGGAGGUGAGCGCGAGGAGCUGAAGCCAGGCUGUAAUGAGCUUUUUUUCUUUUUUUACUUGUUCACAUGUGCUCUUUGAGCGGUAUAGUUACUGCAUUGUGUGCAUGAUAGAAAAGGU